This 134-nucleotide transfer-messenger RNA is filed under the name Gammaproteobacteria bacterium. RNAcentral's name for it is "partial transfer-messenger RNA". It matches the Rfam family "transfer-messenger RNA", at positions 1 to 150 of the family's 374-position model. From Rfam's summary of the family: Bacterial tmRNA, also known as 10Sa RNA or SsrA, is named for its dual tRNA and mRNA-like properties. Its role is to liberate the mRNA from a stalled ribosome. To accomplish this part of the tmRNA is used as a reading frame that ends in a translation stop signal. Lineage: Bacteria; Pseudomonadati; Pseudomonadota; Gammaproteobacteria. The record is from RNAcentral.
GGGGACGCGUGGUUUCGACAGGAAGAUCACUGCUAGAUUGCGGGCCGUGGCGCCGUGCACCACGUAAAAAGCGGCAAAAACAUAAACGGCGAACGAGAAUUCGCUCUCGCGGCCUAAGGGCUGCGACUUUCGAC